RNAcentral lists this ribosomal RNA (551 nucleotides) under uncultured eukaryote. Its description in RNAcentral is "SSU rRNA". It matches the Rfam family "Eukaryotic small subunit ribosomal RNA", at positions 21 to 575 of the family's 1831-position model. The record is from RNAcentral.
UAGUCAUAUGCUUGUCUCAAAGAUUAAGCCGUGCAUGUCUAAGUAUGAGCAAUCUAUACCGUGAAACUGCGAAUGGCUCAUUAAAUCAGUUAUCGUUUAUUUGAUAGUACCUUACUAAUUGGAUAACCGUGGUAAUUCUAGAGCUAAUACAUGCUAAAAGCCCCGACUUCGGAAGGGGCGUAUUUAUUAGAUAAAAAACCAAUGCCCUUCGGGGCUCCUUGGUGAUUCAUAAUAACUUAACGAAUCGCAUGGCCUUGUGCCGGCGAUGGUUCAUUCAAAUUUCUGCCCUAUCAACUUUCGAUGGUAGGAUAGUGGCCUACCAUGGUUUCAACGGGUAACGGGGAAUUAGGGUUCUAUUCCGGAGAGGGAGCCUGAGAAACGGCUACCACAUCCAAGGAAGGCAGCAGGCGCGCAAAUUACCCAAUCCCGACACGGGGAGGUAGUGACAAUAAAUACUGAUACAGGGCUCUUUUGGGUCUUGUAAUUGGAAUGAGUACAAUUUAAACCCCUUAACGAGGAACAAUUGGGGGGCAAGUCUGGUGCCAGCAGCC